GGGAGCGCGAUACCUAUCGCUAUAGGAAUGCUAAUAGUAGCAUUCGCGAAAAAUGCGUGGUUGCUGGGCAUCAUGACGUUACUGUGGAGCUUCGGCACGGGCAUGUUGUCAACUGUCAUCGGAAUUUACCUAGCCGAAAUAGCAGAUACAGAAAUCAGAGGAACAUUAUCCUUGUGCACAAGGUUUACGUUCCAUUUAGGCAACUUAUUGAUAAUGUGCAUCGGGCCUUUUGUAUCAUACGAGACUAUCAACUACUUGAUGCUUCCC
Manduca sexta (tobacco hornworm) is the source of this 267-nucleotide long non-coding RNA. RefSeq lists it as uncharacterized. The transcript has 3 exons. The record is from RefSeq and is a predicted model, not a curated record. NCBI's taxonomy places the organism in Eukaryota, Metazoa, Arthropoda, Insecta, Lepidoptera, Sphingidae.